Molecule: ribosomal RNA, 497 nt
Filed under: uncultured bacterium
Lineage: Bacteria
Description: partial 16S ribosomal RNA
Rfam family: Bacterial small subunit ribosomal RNA
Source: RNAcentral
GAUGAACGCUGGCGGCGUGCCUAAUACAUGCAAGUCGAGCGAACAGACGAGGAGCUUGCUCCUCUGACGUUAGCGGCGGACGGGUGAGUAACACGUGGAUAACCUACCUAUAAGACUGGGAUAACUUCGGGAAACCGGAGCUAAUACCGGAUAAUAUAUUGAACCGCAUGGUUCAAUAGUGAAAGACGGUUUUGCUGUCACUUAUAGAUGGAUCCGCGCCGCAUUAGCUAGUUGGUAAGGUAACAGCUUACCAAGGCAACGAUGCGUAGCCGACCUGAGAGGGUGAUCGGCCACACUGGAACUGAGACACGGUCCAGACUCCUACGGGAGGUAGCAGUAGGGAAUCUUCCGCAAUGGGCGAAAGCCUGACGGAGCAACGCCGCGUGAGUGAUGAAGGUCUUCGGAUCGUAAAACUCUGUUAUUAGGGAAGAACAAAUGUGUAAGUAACUAUGCACGUCUUGACGGUACCUAAUCAGAAAGCCACGGCUAACUACGUG